Molecule: transfer RNA, 72 nt
Filed under: Homarus americanus (American lobster)
Lineage: Eukaryota; Metazoa; Arthropoda; Malacostraca; Decapoda; Nephropidae
Description: tRNA-Trp
Rfam family: tRNA
About the family: Transfer RNA (tRNA) molecules are approximately 80 nucleotides in length. Their secondary structure includes four short double-helical elements and three loops (D, anti-codon, and T loops). Further hydrogen bonds mediate the characteristic L-shaped molecular structure. tRNAs have two regions of fundamental functional importance: the anti-codon, which is responsible for specific mRNA codon recognition, and the 3' end, to which the tRNAs corresponding amino acid is attached (by aminoacyl-tRNA synthetases). tRNAs cope with the degeneracy of the genetic code in two manners: having more than one tRNA (with a specific anti-codon) for a particular amino acid; and 'wobble' base-pairing, i.e. permitting non-standard base-pairing at the 3rd anti-codon position.
Source: Rfam by way of RNAcentral
GGCCCUGUGGCGCAUUGGUAGCGCUUCUGACUCCAUAUCAGAAGGCUGGGUGUUCGAGUCACUCCGGGGUCA